CAGUUCGGAUCGCAGGCUGCAACUCGCCUGCGUGAAGUUGGAAUUGCUAGUAAUCGCGGAUCAGCAUGCCGCGGUGAAUACGUUCCCGGCCUUGUACACACCGCCCGUCACACCAUGGGAGUUUGUAACACCCGAAGUCAGUAUCCUAACCGCAAGGGGGGAGCUGCCGAAGGUGGGAUAAGCGACUGGGGUGAAGUCGUAACAAGGUACC
Molecule: ribosomal RNA, 211 nt
Filed under: uncultured bacterium
Lineage: Bacteria
Description: partial 16S ribosomal RNA
Rfam family: Bacterial small subunit ribosomal RNA
Source: RNAcentral